UGUGUAGGCGGUUCUUUAAGUUUGGUGUGAAAUCUCCCGGCUCGACCGGGAGGGUGCGCCGAAUACUGAGGGACUAGAGUGUGGGAGAGGAAAGUGGAAUUCCUGGUGUAGCGGUGAAAUGCGUAGAUAUCAGGAGGAACACCGGUGGUGUAGACGGCUUUCUGGACCAUAACUGACGCUGAGACACGAAAGCGUGGGUAGCAAACAGGAUUAGAUACCCUGGUAGUCCACGCCCUAAACGAUGCAUAUUUGGUGUGGGUCAUUCAGUUGAUCCGUGCCGGAGCUAACGCGUUAAAUAUGCCGCCUGGGGAGUACAGUCGCAAGGCUGAA
This 330-nucleotide ribosomal RNA is filed under the name uncultured bacterium. RNAcentral's name for it is "bacterial SSU rRNA". It matches the Rfam family "Bacterial small subunit ribosomal RNA", at positions 568 to 898 of the family's 1533-position model. The record is from RNAcentral.